CCCUCUCUCUUUUUAACUAUUUCUUUGCAUGCUAUAGGACUGAUUUCGGGGUGAAUCUAAGAGAGGAGGAGAUAUGGGCAUCAACUUCAGACUAUUUUCAGAGAGGCUGGGACGGGUGUUAGCUGGUGAAGAAGUCACGUUGCCUGAUGCUGCAAAACAACCUAUUCAGAACCUUCAUGCCGAGACUGAAAUCGUUACUUCUUGGCUGAGGGAAUUUGAAAAUGAAACUUCCUGGCUUAUGGUGGAAAAGAUCGGAGAAGAGGAAAUUGAUGACCUAGAUCUGGCGACCGUUAUGGAUGAAAUCAAUUGCUUUACGUAUGAAUCUGAGAGGGUCAUUGACACAUUCAUCAACAGCAUCACUCAACAGAAGAGUCAAAGCAGCUGCAGCAAGGACAUUUUUUAUGCUCUGCAAGGACUCCAAAGCAGAAUCACUAAGAUUAAGCAACGGGUUCAACAACUUAAGCACAUCGAUCCCGAAAUCAUGGAUGACUUCAGAAGUGUUGAAGCUGAAUCCGGUUAUUUUCCUGCAUCUUCAUCUUCUAAGAAUAGGAACACGGUGGGCCUAGAUGAUAGAAUGGAGGAGUUGUUAGAUCUAUCGAUCGAGGGACCAACUCAGCUUUCGGUGGUGGCCAUACUCGAUAGCAUUGGGUUGGACAAGACGGCUUUCACUGCGGAGGCUUACAACAGCAGUUAUGUGAAGCAUUAUUUUGAUUAUCUCACUUGGAUUCCAGCGCCUUAUCAAUAUGACCCUGACCAAAUAUUAGAUAUUGUUACUGUGAUUCUAUUGCUUUUUUCUAUGUUGAGUAAAAUAAAGGAUAAAGAUUAUGAAAUGAAAAAAAUUAUUCUUGGUGAAUAUCUAAUGACUAAGCGGUAUUUGAUUGUGCUUGAUGAUGUGUGGAGCACAGAGCUAUUUGAUGCUAUUCGAGAAAUCCUUCCGGAUAAUCAGAAUGGAAGUAGAGUGCUAAUCACACUCACUCUAAUUGAGAUGGUCACCUCAUUUCAGUUCGAAAAUGGAGAGAACGUUCGCCUUGAUAUAGUGCCCACUGGAGGACCAUUGAGAGUUACCUACCAAGGAUGGCCUUUCCUCAUCUUAUAUCAUGGAAGCAUCUCAUUAGAACAAAAUAUAGAGGAAGCAAUCGAGGGACCCAUGGGGCGUCUAACCGUCAUAUCUUGCAAGCUACCUUUUCACUUGAAACUUUGUUUUCUCUACUUAUCUGUGUUUCCUGCACACCUAGAGAUAUCCACCAGGCAGUUAUAUCAUUUGUGGAUAGCUGAGGGUUUCAUUCCAGACAACAGUGAGGCAACUGCUGAGAAGUACUUAGAGCAACUAAUCAACAGAGGCUUUGUCGAAGCAAAUAAGAGAAGAACUGGAGGCACAAUCAACACAUGCUCUAUUCCCGGUCGUUGCCGUCCUGUAUUGUUAGCAGUGGCUUCCGAGGUGGAAUUUAUCUUUCUCUCGUUCAUGGUUUCAGAACGUAAAUCAAAAAAGAAUGUUAAACGGAUCAACGUUUUUGAUAAACAGAGUGAUUUUGUUCACUUUGUUGAUGAUGACUCGCACAUGCAUUCUUUGUUGUACUUCACUUCAAAAAGCGACCACCUUGACCCAAUAGAUUGGGGGAUAAUUUGUCUAAUGUUGGAAUUUCUUAGAGUAUUGGACUUGGGAUCUCUUGUUCUCAUCCAAUAUCCAUCUGGAAUUGAAAAUUUAUUUCUUUUGAGAUAUUUAAAGUUGAAUAUCCCUUCCCUCAAAAUCCUGCCUUCAUCAUUAUUAAGCAAUCUUCUGAACCUUUACACCCUAGACAUGCCCUUUAGCUAUAUAGAUCAUACAGCUGAUGAAUUUACUUUGCAUGCUAGGAAUACCGCGUGAUGAGACGGGAAGGGAAGGAGUCACGUUGCCCUAGGCUGCUAAACAACAUAUUCAAAACCUUUACGCAGAGAUACGAAAUCGUUACUUCUUUGCUGAGUGACUGUGGAUACAACACAGCUUGGAUUAUGUUGCGAUCAAAUGCUAUAAAAGAUCAAAUUGAUGGAGAAUUAGAAACAGAUCUUCAGCCCAUUAUUGAAUUAGACUGUUAGCUCUCUCAAAUAGACUUGCUAACAUCGUUCCAACUGAAAAAUGGAGAGAACAUUGGGAUUAAGUUAGUGCCUGCAGGAGUGCCACUAAAAGUUACCGACGACCUUUUCUCAUCUUCUACCAUGGAAUUGUGUCAUUAGAAAAGAAUUGGCUAGAUACUUGGCAUAUCUCUAGUGGGUAUCAAAUGUUUUCAUAUUCCACAUUUUAGGAUUCUAUACUGAUCUGAGCUACUACGAUUAUGUAAUUAUGUGUUAUUAUAUGAAAUAAAAUAAUGAAUAAAUCUUGAUUGUAUAUAAAUAAGAAUACACAUAUAUCAUAAGAUUCUUCAAAACCCAUAUAAGUUUAAAUUAUAAGAGGAUUUAAUACCAUUUCACAUUACCUUUUUCUUGAAAAUUUAAUUGUAUCAAUUGUGGGUAGCUGAAGGUUUCAGUCCAAACAAUAAUGAGUCAACUGCUGAAAAGUUCUUGGAACAACUAGUCAUGGAGCUUUUUGGAGCAAAAAUGAGAAAAGCUGGAGGCACAAUCAACGCUUGCUCAAUUCCUUCUCUGUAAAUUUGAACGCUUAAACACGUACCAUCAUCCCAGUUCCUUGCAGUCGCCCCAAAGCCCCUGCUUGCAGUAGAGGAAAAACGAUUCUGUAUAGCCAUCGGGACUCAUCGAUGAAACAGAGAAGAAAAUUUGAAACAAUCCAAGGUUUCAUAGAUCAAAUGAAACCCCAAGAUCAAUCAAGACCAAUGGAGACAAGAUCAAUGGAUGAUCUUGUACUUAGCUCUAAAACAAAUAAGUAAAACCAUCAAAGAAAUUGGAUCAAAACCAGCAGGUUUAGAUUGAUUAUUUAUGAAUGUUCGGGUUGGAUUUUUCUGAUAACCUCUAGAAAGAGUCAAUAUUGUUCAGGUUGGAUUUUUCUAGUAAUGUUUAGAAAUAUAGUCGACCCCAAUCUACUCAGAACUCAUUGUCGUCGAGCUAACCUUGUAAGUACAACCUGGAGCCUAUGUUGGCAGCCUGAUUUACAAGUAUGACCUGAGAUUUAUGUAAAUGACCUGAUUUAAGAAUACAACCUUAAGCCUAUAUAAGCGACCAGAAAAUUCACCAGUCCGAUCUGAAAGUGAAGAAAUCCAACCUCGAAAUUUAUUUGUCUGACUCGAGAAUUAACUUGACAUAGAAAGCUAUCGGUUGAGAUAACAUGGCCUAGUUUCUCAUAAAGUUAUGUGCCACGAUCCAUUUAAACCAUCUCCAACUGAUGACCAUGUGCAACUGCUGAAGAAAGUGGGUAGAAGUUAAAGGUGGUAACCACCCACGACCAAGGGCCUAUUUAAGCUAAAAAGGACAACUGAGGAAAGGGUUAGAAAAAUGAACCAAAAAUUCUAUAAGUUGCCUCUCUAAAAGUCUUAAGAUUCCCGACAAGAUUUUUAGUUUUCUUUACCGAAAAAAUUCCUUAAUUUUCACUUUUCACAAUUCUCCCUUCUCGUUUACCUUUUUCUUAUACACAAUUUCUGACUUAAUCAUCGGAGGGUCUACGCCGGGACCCCACCGGCGUAUUCUAACCGUGUUUUCUGGUUGUUAGGUAUAUAAAGCUGGGUUCAGACCGAUGUUUGAGCUUGGAUUCGCGUUGUAAUUCUCCAAAAGAAAACAAAUUCAGCUGUUGAGGUCAUUUUUCGGCAUCAACAUCUUGGCGCUAUCUGUGGGGAAUGGUGCGAAAAGCCAUACGUUUGAAGAUUUAAAAGGAGGAGGCUAUCGGAUUACAAAACAGCGAUAUAUGAUAAUGAUGGAGACAGGCAGACCUUGCGCCAAUUGGCGGAGGAAAUGAAUGCCACGACAGAUAAGAGAUGGAGAGAAUGGAUCGAGAGGCACAUGGCAAAAUUUGAGGAGAUGGUUAGGGGGCUGAUUAAUGCCCAAGUUAGAGGGGCUCAAGUUCGAGCUAGUGACCCAGGGAGUAGUGGAGCGCGAGAGAGGGAAGAGCUUGGUGGUGAACAGUAGAGCAGAAUGGGACUACCACAAGUUGGGGUACGACAAGAAAAUAGAAGUGUAGGAGAACAAGUGAAUGAGUUGAGAUACAGAAUCAAUGACUUGAAUCAAGAAAGAGAGAGGGAAGAGCUGAGAGACCCCCACCAGGCAAAUGAGCUUGAGCAGCGAAUGCUGCAAUUUUAAAAAACUUUAGAGGCAUUAAAGGCGAAAACAGAGGGCAAGCAAGUGGUAGGAAGGUUGUUACUUGAUGACAAGUCCCUCUUAGUACGUAAAGUGAUGGCGGUAACUUUGCCAUCUAAGUAUGUGGUUCCAGCCUUGGUGUAUGAAGGAAAAACUAACCCGAAUCAUCAUAUGGAGAAGUUUAAUAAGAUGACCGGGAUCCAAGGUUUGAAUAAUUUUCAAAGGUGUCGUGUUUUUCCUUUAACCUUAGAAGGACGAGCACGGGAGUAGUACCAGAGAUUAAAGAAGGGAAGCAUAGAAAAUUUCAAUGAGUUAUGUGAGCUUUUCGCUGUGCGUUUUAGAUGUUCAUGCAUACUAGAGUAAGAUACGAGUAGAUUGAAAAAAAUUAGUCCAACGAGAAUUUGAAAGUUUGAGGAGUUUUGUGACCAGGUAUCAUAAAGAGAUUACUGAUCUAGGGGCCUUUGAUCAUCCAGAUGCUCUAGAGGGAUUAAAGAAAGGGUUGAGAAUCAAUCGAUUGUGGAAUAACUCAUAUAGUAAGAGGAUAACAACAUAUACUGAGGCGUAUGACCAGGAAAAUUUGGAUAUGAAAAUUGAAGAUGCAGAGGAAGAAACAAGGAGAAUGGAAAUGCAGACAUGGGGUCCGAUGAGAAGGGGGGACCUGAGAAGAAGAUGAGAUAACUUUGGGUAUAGCUCGAGGAUGAACACGAAUGAUAAGCAUCAUUACGACAAAGGAUUGUUCAAUUAUAGACAACCAGAAAGGCCGGGUCAAAAUUAGGAAGGAAAUCAUGAAAGAAGAAAAUCUCAUUAGUAGGAAGGGGUCGAGAGGGAGGAAAUAAUUAUGAGAGGAACCAACGGGAGAGCCAAGUAUAAGAUUACAAUAGGUUGCCACCACCUGUAGACCGAAGAGGAUCGAGACCUGCUAAUGGGGUGAAUUUAUUAUAACAGAGUGGAAGAUACACACAACUAAACAUAAGCAAAGUAGAAAUAUAUGUUACAAUAAAAGAUAAGGGGUUACUAACACUGCCAAAGCCGAUUGUAGGGGGUUUGAGUGGAAAUGCUCACCACAAGUAUUGUGAGUUUCACAAGGUGACCGGACAUGGAACUGUAGAUUGCAUAGACUUGAAGGAACAAAUUGAAUGGCUAGUGUAAAAUCAAUAUCUAAAGAAGUAUGUGGAUGACCAAAGAAGAGGUGGGAGAAGAGAAGACAUUAGAGAUAAUAUAGCGAUGAUGAUUAUAGGAGGGCCGACCUUAGCAGGAGACUCAAACCGCUUGAGGAGAAAUUAUAGCAGAUAUUCACUAAAAAGUUUCGAGGUGAAUUUUAAUAUUCUGGCACUAAAGAAGCAGCGGAUUCACAAGGUGUCGAUCAUGUUCACGGACGAGGACGAGGAAGCGAUCGUACAUCCACAUGAGGAUAUGCUUGUAGUGAAGGUUGUCUUGGCAGGGCAAGAAUUGAAUCGAGCUUUUGUAGAUGGGGGAAGCUCGGUAGACAUUUUGUUUAAGCAAACUUUGGAUGAUCUACAAAUAGGAGACCUCAGGCUUGAUCCCGUCAGAACAUCGCUAAAGGAGUUUGGUGGAUUUGAGCUAAUUCCACUUGAGUUGAUUGACUUGCCGCUGACAAUAGGGUCCAACCCACUACAAAAGACAGUGAUAGUGACAUGGUUGGUAGUUGAUGAGCUUAGCCCUUAUCAAGUUAUUUUGGGCAGACCGUUCAAUAGGAUAGUAUGAGUAGUGAGCUUAACUUAUAUGCAAUGUGUGAAAUUUAGAGUUCAAGGUGGAGUUGGAGUGAUGAUAGGCCAACAAUAAGUGGCUCGAAGCUGUUACACUAAAAUUGUGAGAGAAUCCAUGAAGAUCACAAGUAUCGAUCCACGAGCUGAAAAUAGGUUAUGCCAAUAGCGACCUAAUGAAGAAAUGAAACAAGUACCAGUAAGUGAGGAUGAUCCGAGCAGAGUAGUAAGAGUGGGAACAAAGAUAACAGAUGACAUUUUUAAUGAGCUUCAGAAUUUAUUGGUGGAGUAUAAUGACAUAUUUGCUUGGAGACAUGAAGAUAUACUGGGAAUAAACCCAUGAAUCAUGUGUCACUAGUUGGCUAUAGAUAAAAAACAUAGGCCAAUGAAGUAGAAAAGAAAAGUGUUCAACCAGGAAAGGUAUGCGGCCAUCUAUAAUGAGGUAGAUAAAUUGUUGAAAGUGGGAUUUAUAAGGGAAGUGAACUAUCCAGAAUGGGUUUCGAAUGUGGUAAUGGUUAAAAAGGCGAAUGGAAAAUGAAGGAUGUGUGUAGACUUUACCGACCUCAACAAAGCUUGUCCUAAAGAUAGUUUCCCUCUCUCAAAGAUUGAUUAGUUAGUGGAUUCAACAAUCGGGCAUGACUUGAUGAGUUUUAUGGAUGCAUUCUCAGGAUACAACCAGAUUCGUAUGUCCACAGUAGGUGAAGAAAAGACAGCUUUUGUGACCGACCAAAGAUUGUAUUGCUACCAUGUGAUGUCGUUCGAAUUAAAAAAUACUGGAGCUACUUAUCAAAGGUUGGUAAACAAGCUUUUCAAGCCCUUGAUUGGUAAAAUGAUGGAGGUAUAUAUAGAUGACAUGAUAACCAAGUAUGUUGAGCAGGCGGAACAUACAACGCAUUUGCGUAAGACAUUUGAAGUGCUACAAAAGAUAAGAUGAAGUUGAUUUCGGAAAAGUGUGCCUUUGGAGUGGAAUCAGGGAAAUUUUUGGGCUUCCUAGUUAGUCAAAUGGGGAUAGAAGCUAAUCUGAAAAAAGUAGAAGUCAUCCCCAAGAUGAGGUCGCCGAAGGAUCUUAAAGAUGUUCAGAGCUUAGCUGGAAAGGUUACUGCGCUGAGUAGGUUCAUUUUGAAAUCAUCAGAGAAAUGCCAUCCAUUUUUUGAAUUGAUGAAGAAAGGAAAAAGAUUGAGGUGGUUGGAAGAAUGUGAGACAACAUUUCAACAAUUAAAGGCAUAUUUGGCCAAUGUACCCACUUUGGCUAAGCCCUUAGUGGGUGAUGUUCUCUUGAUCUACUUGGUGGUCUUAAAUUAUUCAACUAGCUCAGUCAUGGUAAAAGAAGAAGAUGAAGUAUAACAACUUGUAUACUACAUGAGCAGAUCUCUUACAGGGGCAAAAGUAAGAUAUCCUAUUGCAGAAAAGUGGCCAAUGGUUUUUGUUGUAGCUACAAGAAAGCUGAGGCCAUAUUUUCAAGCUCAUGAGAUCGUGGUAGUCACUAAUCAACAUUUGAGAUCAAUUUUUCAAAAAUAAGACAUUUCAGGAAGACUAGUUAAGUGGUUAGUAGAACUAAGUGAAUUCGACAUCGGUUACCAAUCGAGGUCAGCAAUUAAAGCACAAGCUCUGGUCGACUUCAUUAAUAAUUGCAGUGAAGGGAGUGAAGAGAUGGAUGCCGAGCAGGAGAUUAAAGAGGCAGAGAAGAAGAAUGAUGUAUGGGAGCUUAAUGUAGAUGGAGCUGCAAACCCAUAAGGGUCAGGCAGGGGAAUUGUUCUUGUUUCACCCGACCAGGAAGAAGUAUGCUACUCUCUCAAGUAUGAAUUCCAUCCUACAAACAAUGAAGCAGAAUACGAAGCUCUCAGUGCGGGUCUAAAAUUAGCAAGAGCAUUGGGAGUUUGGCAUUUGAAGGUGAAGAGUGACUCUCAACUGGUAGUGAACUACUAGAAUGGGACAUUUCAAGCCAAAAGUGAGAACAUGUCCAAGUAUCUGAGCAAAGCACUACUGUUAUGUGGUAGUUUUGAUCACGCUACAAUGGAGAAAGUUCUGAGGGGAAAGAAUUACUGAGCAGGUUAUAUAGCAAGACUGGCAGUUAUAGAAUGCCCAAAGUUCCAACGAGGAAUUCCAUUGGAGUCAGUUUCAAAGCCAAUAGUUAAUUCUGAAAUGAAAGUUUGUAUGGUAAAAGAUGAGAAGAACUGGAUGGUGCCUAUCAUGAGGUAUAUUGAAUUUGAGGAACAACCUCAAGAUAAAGCAGAGGCAAGAAGGCUGCGAUGCCAGGCAACACGGUACUCCAUUAUCGAAGAUGUGCUUUAUAAGAGAAGUUGCACUUUACCUUACCUGCGAUGUUUGGGCUCAGCUGAUGCCAACUAUGUGAUGAGAGAGGUGCAUAUGGGAAUUUGUGGAAAUCACAGCGGAGGUAUGGCAUUGGCCCAUAAAAUAAUAAGGUAUGGUUAUUUUUGGUCGACCAUGCAUGAAGAUGCACAAGAGUUAGUUCGGAGAUGUGAUGAAUGCCAGAAGUUCGUCGUAAUUGUAAGACAACCACCAGAAAACAUGAUGACAAUGGGGAGCACUUGGCCAUUUGCACAAUGGGGGGUGGAUCUUAUCAAACCAAUGCCAACCGGGAGAGGCCAAAUGAAAUACGCGGUGGUAGCCAUUGAUUAUUUUACUAAAUGUAUUGAAGUUGAGCCGUUACAAAAGAUAACCGAGAAGCGCACAACAUAUUUUAUAUGGAGGAAUGUGAUUUGCAGAUAUGGCCUACCGCAAGCUAUUAUCACUAAUAAUAGAACCUAAUUCAAUAAUGAGAAUUUCAAGAAGUUUUGUGGUCAGCUUGAUAUUGAACUUCGGUUUAGCUCACCUGCUCAUCCGAAGGCAAACAGACAAGUGGAAGCGGCAAACAAAACUAUAAAGCAAUUGUUGAAGAAAAGGUUAGGUGAGAAGAAGGGAGCUUGGGUGGAUGAGCUUUCAGGAGUACUGUGGGCCUAUAGAAUGACCGUGAAGACUUUAACGGGGGAGACUCAAUUCUCACUUGCUUUCGGACAUAAGGCAGUAAUCCCAGCUGAGGUUGGCAUGGAGACACACUGCACAAAAUAUUAUGAUGAGACAAUAAACAGGGAAUAUAUAUUGUUGGAUUUAGAUUUGCUUGAUGAGAAGAGAAAGUCGGCAAGAGGUCAAGUAGCAAUUUACCAGUAAAAAGUGGCUAAGUUCUACAACAAGAAUGUCAAGCUACGACAAUUUUAGGAGGGGGACCUGGUGCUCUGCAAAGUCAAUCAAUCAACCAAAAAGCCAGCUGAUGGAGUUCUAGGGCCGAGCUGGGAAGGACCAUACAAAGUACUACACUCAUUUGGUAAUGGCGCAUAUAAGUUAGGUUAUCCGGAUGGCAGGGUCGUCGGCAAGUCAUGGAAAGCAGAGCACUUACAAAAAUACUAUCAGUUGGCCAAUCCUAUUUAUGAUGUUCUUGUUUGUUUUUUUUUAAAUAUGUUAUGAUAGUUUUUUUCUUUGUUAUUUCAAUUCGUUAUGUGUUCAAUUACGUAAUUUCUGUCAUAUUAAUAUCAAUGAGGUUAUUCAGAAAUGCAACUUUAUUUCUUACCUACUUGUGACUGAUCUUCUUUGAGAUUGGCAUAUUUGAGCCUUAUUGAGGUCCAACAUAAAUUUUUAUCAAAUCUUAUUGAGAUUAAGAUCGACAUUUGGGCCUUGUUGAGGCCGAAUGUGAAAAUUUAUCCAAUCUUAUUAAGAUUGAGAUAAGCAUUUUGGCCUUAUUGAGGUCCAACGUGAAAUUUUUCAUCAAAUCUUAUUGAGAUUGAGUUUCGACAUUUAGACCUUAUUGAGACCGAACAUGAAAAAUUUAUCCAAGCUUAUUGAGAUUGAGAUCAACAUUUUGGCCUUGUUGAGGUCCAACGUGAAAACUUGUUGAGGUCAACUAUAACUAUAACAUUUAAGAUUUACAAUUUUCAACUCGUUGAGGUCGGCUAUAGCCAUAACAUUUAAGUUCUACAAUUUUCAAUUUAUUGAGGUCGACACUUUAGAUUUGUAAGGCCUAUGAUUGAGGUCGACAAUUUAGUUUUGUGAGGUCUACAAUUGAGGCCGACACCUUUGCGUUGUGAGGUCUACAACUUUGGUCGACAUUUUAGUUUUGUAAAGCUUAAGGUUGAAGUCGACACUUGCUUUGUGAGCUCUACGGUUGAGGUCGACAUUUUAGUUUUGUAAAGCCUACGGUUGAAGUUGACACUUGCUUUGUGAGCUCUACUUUUGAGGUCUACAUUUUAGUUUUGCAAAGCCAACGGUUGAGGUCGACACUUGCUUUGUGAGCUUUACGGUUGAGGUCAACAUUUUAGCUUAGUAGGAUCUAAAACUGAGGUCGACACUUUAGAUUUGCAAGGCCUACGGUUGAGGUCGACAUUUUAGCUUGGUAAGAUUUAUAGUCGAGGUUGACACUUUUACUUUGUGAGCUCUACAAUUGAGGUCGACAUUUUAGUUUUGUAAAGCUUACGAUUGAGAUCCACAUUUUAGUUUGGUAGGAUCUACAACUGAGGUUGACAUUUUAGUUUUGUAAAGCCUACGGUUGAGGUCGACACUUGCUUUGUGAGCUCUACAUUUAAGGUCGACAUUUUAGUUUUGCAAAGCAUACGUUUGAGAUCGACAUUUUAGUUUGGUAUGAUCUACAACUGAGGUCGACACUUUAGAUUUGUAAGGCCUACGGUUGAGGUCGACAUUUUAGCUUGGUAAGAUUUAUGGUCGAGGUUGACACUUUUGAGUUGUGAGCUCUACGAUUGAGGUCAACAGUUUAGUUUUGUAAGGUCUACGAUUGAUGUUGACACUUUAAAUUUGUAAGGCCUACGGUUGACGUCGACAUUUUAUCUUGGUAAGAUCCAUGGUCGAGGUUGAAGCUUUCGCUUUGUAAGCUCUACGAUUGAGGUCGACAAUUUAGUUUUUUGAGGUCUACGAUUGAGGUCGACACUUUAGAUUUGGAAGACCUACGGUGGAGGGCAACAUUUUAACUUUGUAAGAAUCUAUAAUGAGGUCAGCUUCGCGCUUCUUAAGGUCGACUUUCCAGCCUAGUUACAAUCAGCAAUAGCCUAAACAUCUUCAGUCUUGUUGUGGUCGGCAUUAGCUUUGUUAAAAAUUAGCGUCCAGGCUACGUAACGAUUAUCCGAAUACAAAAACAAAAUGAAAGCUCAACAAGAGUUAUCAGUUCGUAACAUUACAUAAAGGCAAGCCUUAUAACAACUUCUCAAAUCUACUUAGGAAGCAUGCUCUUCGUCUUCAAUAACUCUGCUAGUUAAAGAUGUCUCACCCUCAACUCUAAUCUCAUCACCCUGAAGAACUCGAUUUUCUUCUUGAUCCGUACUCGAUGACUUCUUCUUAGCCUUUUCUUUGCUCACAUAAGCAGUCAACAUCCAUUGAAAGUCCAUGUCCGGGUGUUGUUCUUGGAACAAUUCAAUGCAUGUCUAAAUGACAUCUGCCUUCAGUUGCCUUUUCUCUAGUCGAAUGCGUUGAUCAACAUCAGACUUAACUUUUUCCAACUCAUAGCUAAGAUCGGCAAUCUUGGAGUCUUUGCUCGCAUUAGAUUUCUUUUUGGCUACCAAGUCUUCUGCCAAGUGAGUAUUUUCAUCGUUGUGAGCAUUGAGGUCACGCUUGAGCUGAUCUCGCUCGCUUGCUGUCUUUUUGUUCGUGAGGUUGUCUUUCAUCAAAGCGCGCUCGACUUCUUCUAUUUUUGCAUGGCCUUUCAAUGACUUUGCAAACGUCUCGAUAUCCGCGGCCAUGAUCAAGGAUUGCUGUGAAAGAAAGCAUGAUGGUUAAGAAGAAAAGUAUAAACAUCAAAGAAAUAAAGAUUGUGAAUUAAUACCCACCUCAGCUUGGUUUCGAGCAAGCACUUCAAGAGCAUGAGUAGCUGACAAGUGGGAAAAAUUCUUGAUGGUACCCUGGCUCACAAAUCGAGCAGCUAAGUUCACCAUGGGUAGUAAGUCCUCCGCUCUUCCUCACUUUGACUCUAUGAUGUCAUUGCUUUCAAGCAAGCUUCCUUUCGGACAUAUCGGGGAAGAGGUAAGUGGUAAAAUGCGCAAGGGACGAGAGUCGCUAGCUCGGUCACUUUUGCUCUGAGGUAGCAUGUUGCAAGCUGAAACAGCAAGUUAUUUUUCUUUUUUCUCAUCAGCUUUGUUUUUCUGUGAUGCCCGCCAUGGUUUCUUACUAUGUGGUUUUCCUUUCUCGUUCGAUAUCUCCUUGAUCACGGCUUUUGCAAUUUCUGCAGGGGUACGCUUAACAGUAGACGUGUUUCCUGCAUUUAGCAAUCAUUUCUCAACUCUAGCACUCAGCUUGUCAUUUAUAUCAACUUUCUUCUUCAAAGUCACUGCAGUAAAAACAUGUGUUAGAUUGUAUCCUUAUUUCGACCUCAACCUGAACAAAACUUGAAUUACCUAGUCUACUAAAACGAGUGGGAAUUUUAAACCAACCCUUGGUCAGCUCUACAUCCCUACCCUAAUUUCCACCCACCACGAAAUACUUGUUUUUCCAACCUCUACAUGAGCUUGGAAAGUCAAGUACUAUUCUUCUACUAUUUGAUUUUGACAUAAAAUAGUACUAUCCUUUGUGAUUGAUCCCAUGCUCAUUACAAAAAUAUAAGUGAGUAAACUCCUUAAAACACGGCUCGGUUAUAUUCUGCUCAGCCCAUACAACAUACAUACCACCUAAAACCCUCCAGCCAUUUUGGUCAAGUUGACCUGGACUCAAACCCACUCUCACCAACAUUCGAGCAAAGUAAGGUUGAAUGAGCAACUUGAAACCAAGUUAAAAAAUUUCCAUUACCCAAUUUGCUUGCCACCUCAUCUUCGCCCAAUAACUUAAGUGUAAUAUCGUCUGCAAUAAGAUAUUCCUUCCUCAACUCUUCAAUCUCUUUCUCUUUUGUAUCAAAGUUUAGUCUUAUCAAAGUUUAGUCUAUUCACGCCAUAUUCUUCAUGCUCAUCUCCCUCAUCUUCAAAUUGUGCACAACUCGAUUCCUCAUUCACCUCAUUUCCGCGUCUUAUUUUCUUAGACUUAUUUUCGGCCACGUUACAAUUUAAUUCUACAUUAUCUUCCCUGACUUUUCCAUUAUCAUCUACACCCGAUGCAAUAUCACUAAGCCCGUCCAACAACUCCUUAUUCGCAUUUUGCGAAUCGCUACAAAGUGACCCAUCUUCACUCCUUAAUUCCAUUAUUACCUAAUGUUACAUUUAACAAAACCUCAUUUCCAGUCAAUAUUAACACCCAGUAUGUAAACAGCAAAUUACAAGCAACCUUUCAUUGUCAACAUCACAUCCAACACAAUACAAAACACAGCAACAAGCAAAUGCGCUUGGGAUGAGACAACUCACCGGAUCUCCUUUAGUCAUAAUGGAUUCCAGUUUUGCUGAUAGUCAACAAUAGUAACAUCAUUCAGCAUUGGUUCUACAUCAAUAAAAUGCAACAUUAGCUGAGAGUAGUUUAAAAAAAAGAAACACAACAAAGAGAAGAAGAAGUUUGAGUUUCGACAAUAACAAAGAGAGAGGGAGAAUGCAAAACAAAAAAAAAACAGAGAGAGAGAAACGCAGCAAAGAGAAGAAGAAGUUGAGUUGUGACAAAAACAAACAAAAAAAAGAGGCGAGUUCUGUUUAUAAAAAAAAAAAAGGGCGUUUGGUUUCAAUACACACAUAUAUAGAUCUGGUAUUUAUUAUAAAAAAAAGCACAACAGAAGAUGGCGCGCGAGGUACUCACUUAGGGAUGGCAAUGGGGAGGGGAGGGGAGGGGACCAAUCUCCCCAUACCCAUCCCCGAUAUUUUGCAUAUGUCCCCGUCCCCUCCCCGUCCCCGUCAGAAUUACUUGAGAGAAUCCCCAUCCCCUCCCCGAAUAAUAACAGGGGAUCCCCGAGGGUCCCCGGUCCCCGAAUAACUAAUAGUCUAAUACAUUAUUUUUAUUUUCGAUUUUAAAUUAAUCAUAUUAAAAUAAAAAAUUCAGAUAAAAAUAAAGUUCAAAAUAUAUCUUACAUUAAUAUUGAUCCAUUACAAAGUCACAUUCAAAAUAUAAAUUAUUAAAAUAAUUAUAAAACAAUGAAAAUAAUAUAAGUAAAGUAACUUAUAAGUGCAAAUAUUAAUAACUGUAUAAUAUAAUCACAAUGUAAAAUAAACUCAUACUGUUAUUGUAAGCUCGUAACCAACUUUGACAGCACAUUAAGGCCUCCAAUGUGCUUGGAUGAAGUUUGUUACGGUGUGGGCUCACAACUCUACCACCGAUGCUAAAAGCUGAUUCAGAAGCAACUGUUGUAAUUGGAAUUGUCAAAAUAUCUCUAGCAAUUCGAGCUAAUGUAGGAUACCUAUUAGCAUUUAAUAAUAUAAAUAUUUUGAUAUUUAUUAUUUUUAACAAUAUUUAUAAUUUUGUUAUUUAUUUAUUAGUAAUUUUAAAAAUAAAAAUAAAAUUAAAAAUUAAAAUGGGGAAAUGGGUAGGGGAUGGGGAUUCCACCUCAUCCCCGUCCCCUCCCCGCAUAAAAAAUUGGGUAAAAAAUUUUCCCCGUCCCCUCCCCGAAAAAAAAAUUGGGUAUAAAAUUAUACCCGUACCCUCCCCGAAUGGGAAAAAUCCCCGAGGGUACCCGUCCCCGUGGGGAUUUUUGCCAUCCCUAUACUCACUAACAUGUUUGAUUAUGGCUCUGUAGCGUCGUUGCUCAAUUUACCCAAAAAUCGCAGGACGGCGACAGCUCAAUAUUUCACUUUUAUUGUGAAAAAGUGUGGAGGAUGAGGACGAAACAGAAGCCCAAACGAAACAGAAGCCAAAAGGUAUUGAGAAAAGACAAAAUGUAUGUUUUCAAUUUGCCUUUAAGUCACGUGCUUAUGCUUUUUCUCCAUGGUCUCGCUUUUUUAUUUAUUUACUUUAUUCUUUAUUUAUUCCUUAUUUUUAUUUUUUAUUAUUAUUUUUGCCAAAUUCUUACUUUUAAGCCUAUUUUAACGCAACACUAUCCUUGUUCUACUUCACAUUACCCCUGUUCUGCUGGAGACCAUACUACGCUUUCUUCAUUGUUUCAGUUUCCAAUACCGUUCAUAUCUUCUCAGUACUGAAAACUAGGGGACUGGUGUUCAAUUUAUAAGAAUUUUUAUAUUUUUCAUUAAUUAGUGUCCAACACCGAAAAUAGCUUCCUGAUGUUGAAAACUAUGAGACUGGUGUUCGGGUUGGAUUUUUCUGAUAACCUCUAGAAAGAGUCAACAUUGUUCGGGUUGGAUUUUUCUAGUAAUAUUUAGAAAUAUAGUCGACCCCAAUCUACUCAGAACUCAUUGUCGUCGAGCUAAUCUCGUAAGUACAACCUAGAUCCUAUUUUGGCGGCCUGGUUUACAAGUAUGAUAUGAGAUUUAUGUAAAUGACCUGAUUUAAGAAUACAACCUUAAGCCUAUAUGAGCGACCAGGAAAUUCACUGGUCCGACCUGAAAGUGAAGAAAUCUGAUCUCGAAAUUUAUUUGUUCGACCCAAAAAUUAGCUUGACAUAGAAAGCUAUCGAUUGAGAUAACGUGGCCUAAUUUCUAGGAAAGUUGUGUGCCACAAUCCAUUUAAACUGUCUGCAAUUGAUGACCACGUGCAACUGUUGAAGAAAAUGGGCAGAAGUUAAAGGUGGUAACCACCCACGACCAAGGGCCUAUUUAAGCUAAAAAGGGCAUCUGAGGAAGGGGUUAGAAAAAUGAACCAAAAAUUUUAUAAGUCACCUAUCUAAAAGUCAUAGGAUUCCCGACAAUAUUUUUAGUUUUCUCUACUGAAAAAAAUCCUUAAUUUUCAGUUUUCCCUUUUCGUUUACCUUUUUCUUAUACACAAUUUCUAACUUAAGAAUCAGAUGGUCUACGUCGAGACCCCACAGGCGUAUCCUAACCGUGUUUUCUGGUUGUCAGGUAUAUAAAGCUGGGUUCAGACCGACGUUUGAGCUUGGAUUCGCACUGUAAUUCCCCAAAAGAAAACAAAUUUAGCUGUUGAGGUCGUUUUUCGGCAUCAACAAUGAACAUCAUACUUGCCACACUCUUGCGUAUAAAUCCUUAGAUUUACAGGUCUUAUAUCACAUGAAUGAAGAUGCUAGUGGUGUGCCUCCAUGGAGCUCUAACUCAAUAGUUUUCAAGUAGUUUUAUUUAGCUAACCACCUAAGUUUGAGUUGUGGUGAGGAAAGAUGAUAAAAAUUAAUUUGAUCUUUGCACCUCACUACCUUUAAAAGAGUUCAAACUUCUAACUCGGUUUUGAAUUUUAAUUAUUUUAAAUUGAAAUGCUAAGUCCAUAUAUUAUAUAUAUGAGUUUUUUUUUUUUUUGCCCAAGGUUGAAUUAAACUAUAUAUUUACGAAAGUCUUGAGAUACAUGAUUUUCAGGAUUUAAUAAAAUCAUAUGUACUAGCUAUAUAUACAUCUUAAUAAAUGUUUGCCAGACCUUUAUUUGUACUAAAAUUAUACAUAUCUAGACUCUCAUUACACUUUAGAUUGUAACAAUUUAAAUAUUUUUUUUUUGUGGAAGUCGUUUAGAAUUCUAAGAUCGGAAGUCAAAUUUCAAUAACGAUUUUUUAAAAAUAUUAAUUUAAUAUAUAUAUAGGGAGAGAGAGAUUCUUGAGUGCAUAUACUUAACAUUAUAUAGUGUUAUAGCGAAUUUACACAAAAUUUACAUAUCGACACUUGAGAAUUUCUAUAUAUCAAAGCUUUUAAAUGCAGAAGUCUAAAUAUGGAUUUCAUGCGGAUUCACUACAAAAUCAUAUGAUGUUAACAUGUUUUUACAAUUGACUAUAAUACCACAUGAUGUUGUAGAAAAUCACACGGAAUCUCUAUAAUAUAAAGAGAGAGAUCUUGCUUUGCUUUAUAAUUGAAUAUAGGGUGGUGAUAUUCCCAUCGCUCAAAUUUUGUAAACCUACCUCACUUUAAAAAAUUAAAUCAUAAAAAAUUCACAUUAUUUUUAACGAUUUCAAAUUAUUAAGAAUAAAAUAAGCAAUUGACUAAUUAAAUCCUUAUUAAAUAAUUAAAAUACAUUUAUGAUAUGAUAUCUCAAAAAAUUUAUAUUAUUUUUCCCAUGAAAUUUACUAAUUACAAGAAAGAUCUGAUUGAUUAAUUGUUUAAAUUUUAUUUAUUUUAAAUUGAAAAAAUGUGAAUUAUUUUUUAAAUAAUUCUUUGAAAUGAUUUAAAUGUGGUACGUGUCCCACCAAGUUAAAACCUGAAGCUGAUUUAAAUUUUAUUUUGGAACGGAAACCUAGUAGCGAGGCUUCGUUCUUCAGGAAAUUCCGAGGUAAGUUAAUCAACGUUUCCACUAAUUACUUUUAUUUUGCUUCCAAAGUUUAUUUAAUUAGACCAAUUUCUGGCUUCCGACUUAAAUUGCAUAUCCAAUUUAGUGGUUGAUUUUUGGAGAUGGAGAUAAACUGAAACAUUGAUAAGCUUAGGGAAAAAAAAAUUCGAUGGAGAUUGAAAGUUCUUCGAUAGGAUUCUAGGGUUUUGAUUAGAGAAUUAAGAGAGAAUAGAUGAAGAAUUUAAAGAGAAGGGAGAAGAAUUAAUAGGAAUUAGAAUUAAUUUUAUUACUUGCCUCCUAAAAAUAUAAUAAGAACCACUUAUUUAUAGUAGUUCAAGACAAUCAUAAUUAUAAUUUAAUAAGGACUUUAAUUGAAAUAAGAAAACCUAAUACUAAUAGGAAAGAAAUUAAAACAAGCAAUUAAAAUAAAAUAAACUAUUAGGGUCCUAACAUUCACUGCCCCUUAAAACAGGCUUGUCCGCAAGCCUUUUACCCAGUUUCAAUAACCGAGAUCUUCCAAUCCACAUGAUGGUCAGGUGGUUUUUGAGGGUUGUGAAGAGGUAUAUUAGCGUCUAAAAGCAAUAGUUGAGAUUGUUUGCAGCGAUGUCCAGGCUUGAAUUGCUCAUCACAGUUGAAACAAAGCCCUUUAGAACGUCUUUCCGCCUGCUCAGUUGAGGAUAAACGUUUGACAUUAUUAGGUAAGAUAGAGGGAACCAGUCCUAAUAAAGAGGGUGCUGGUGGAGUAGGAGUUGACUGUAAUUGUGGGAGUGGAUCUUGGAUGGCAGGAAUAGGGGAACAAUUGCCUUGUAAAGUAAUUGCCUUUUCCUGAAAUCUAGCAAGUUCAAAAGUUUGUAGGAGACUAACAGGUUUGAAUAGUUGUACGCCAGCCUUGAUAUCUUUACGUAACCCAGAGAGGAAACAACUAAUGGAGAAAAGCUCAGUUAAAUUGCUAGUCCGAUCAGCCAACUUUUCAAAUUGUCGUUGAUAGUCAAGAACAGUCCCUGUUUGACAUAGUUUGGUAAGACUGCCAACUGCAUCAUUCUCUUCUAAUGUCCCAAAUCGAGUAGUCAAAGCUCGUUUAAAUUGCGCCCAAGUCAUUUCGCCCAUAGUCUGCUCUAGCCAAUGAAACCAAGGUACCGCAUCACCAUCAAAAUGGCCAAUAGCUAAAGACAAUAAGUCAGCAUCUGAUAAUCCAGUAAGGCGACGAUAUUGCUCACAUCGAAAAAUCCAUCCCGUUGGAUUGUCACCAUGAAAAAUAGGAAAGUCAAGGCAUAUGUUACGAGCUUGCACAAGAGUACUUCCAAUGCGUUCAGUAGGUUCAAGAGGGGAAUGGGUAGCAAUGACCGUUUGAGGAGCAGAGGUCCCUCCAGUAAAUAUAUCAACUUGUCGUUGAUCAGUAGCUGGUUGUUUGCCUUUUCACAACUAACUCAAUUACUGAAGGAUGCCGUGCAUGAGUUCCUGCAAAUCGUUAUUCUGCUUGGCUAAGGUUGUAACCUUUUCAUCGAUGGCUGUAAACUUGUCAUGGAAUUGUUGUGAUAACUGCUCAACUUGGCCUUCAAGCUCUUUAACAGUCAUGAUGCCUAAAAAAAGUUCGAAGAAAAUUCACGUUUGGUUGAAAAAUUUAGAUGCUGGAAAAAGUUUGGAGGGUGUGCCCGGUUCAAGUCUCCAAAAGCCAAGAGAUAUUGACAAAAGUUUGGUUGCUGUUUUUUUUUUCAAAUAGUGAACGAAAAAAAAAAUGGUGGCAGGAAGGAUGUGCUCUGAUACCAGAUGAUAGGAUUCUAGGGUUUUGAUUAGAGAAUUAAAAGAGAAUAGAUGAAGAAUUUAAAGAGAAGGGAGAAGAAUUAAUAGGAAUUAGAAUUAAUUUUAUUACUUGUCUCCUAAAAUUAUAAUAAGAACCACUUAUUUAUAGUAGUUCAAGACAAUCCUAAUUGUAAUUUAAUAACGACUUUAAUUGAAAUAAGAAAACCUAAUACUAAUAGGAAAGAAAUUAAAACAAGCAAUUAAAAUAAAAUAAACUAGUAGGGUCCUAACAUUCUUAUUACCUACAAAUGCAAUUAAUUAAAAUUUCUAAAAUUACUGUAAUUGUUGGCAAUGUGGGUUUUUUUUUUUUUGGUUUUGGGAGAGGGGGUCUGAAAUUUGCAUGCAUGCCUUAAUUGAGUUUUAUCACUUUAAAUCUUAAUUACUAAUGUUUUUUCUAUUAACGGUUGAAAAUAAGAUAAGAAGAGAGACGGUGAACUUGAAGAAGUAUAAGAAGAAAAGACAUGUACUGAUGUUGAUAUGUUUAUGUGAAUAAAGAAAUGGAAUCUUUGUCCAAGUUUUUCCCUUGAUGUUCUAAAGUUUGCAUAUAUAUGUUUCAAGAAACAAAUGGAAAUUAAAUAGUACAUAAAGGUGAACUCACAUCGUCGACUAAAGGUUACACUACCAUUUGCCCAAUGGUUCCAUUUCUAUUAUCAUUUUCUUUAUUCACAGAAAUAUCGUCGGCCUCAAAUUCAUCAGUAUAAAAAGAGGGACAAGGGCAAGGACAAGGACAGGGUGAAUCUAUUCUAUGACAACAGCAAGUCUGAAAUUUAGUUUUAUUUCUGCUGCCGCACUGAGGAAUCACGAGCAUCAACCACCUACUUUAUUACCGUUGCUUCAUUUUUCUCCUGAAGACAGUUGACUUGACGAAAUAACAUUUUUAAUGAGGCUGCCUUAGAGAAAGCAUAUAUGUUAAUCAUCUGUUGUAAUCUCAUGCCAAAAUCAUUUCAGUUCCUGCUCAUAAAAUUAGUUACUUCAACCUUUGUCAUAUGUAUUCUCCACUGCUUUAAGAUACUUUGAUAGUGAAUGUGUCUAAAUUCCAACUCAAAAGAUUCAUUUGAGGAAAAUUUCUUCAGAUGGUCAUGUAGAGUUCUAAUUUAUCUCAGCGUCAUACUCUAAAUACUUGAAAACUACAUGUCAAUCAUCAAUGUUCAUCUUUUGUUGACAAUCUCAACGAUCAAGUGUGUUUGGGAAAAAAUUAUCACAAUUAUGUUUAGUCCAUUUAUAAGACAAUGUGUCAAGUGAUCCAUUAGUCUAUUUAAAGGUUGCAAUCAAAUGAGUUCAUGUCCAGAUUGUGAAGUUGGUUAAUUUCAACAUAAUAGCAAUGAUUGUAUCCAGUGCUUUUAUAAAGUUGCUAUGUUAUUACUUCUUUAGUAAGUGGCAGACAUGACUUUCUAUUUUUCCACAGCUUCAAUUGUUAAAUAAUUGAUAAUGCUCUUUCGCUUACUCUGUUCUUUUUUUUUUUAGAUAAGCUUUAUUGCUUUUGCCCUUUCUUUCUUGAGAGUGGAUGUAUAAAACAAAUUGGCCUUGACUGAUACUUGAUGAUGUUGUAAUUAUUUCUCCCUGCUUUAUUCUUUUUACAAUAUAUGGAAGACAAAGUAUUGUAAGAUUCAUUUCCCGCACUGCUCUGCCUUGAUCUGUUCUAAUUUGAGAGUCAGCAAUCUUGAUUCAACUUCUUGGAUGGAGUACUAGCUAAGAGAAGGGAGGAAUGGGAGCCAACACUAAUUUUUCAAUGAGGAGAUAUGGGCAUCAACUUCAGACUAUUUUCGGAGAGGCUGAGAAGGGUGUUAGCUGGCCAAGAAGUCACAUUGCCUGAUGCUGCAAAACAACCUAUUCAGAACCUUCAUGCCGAGGUUGAAAUCGUUACUCCUUGGCUAAGGGACUAUGAAUAUGAUAUGUCCUGGCUUCUGCUGCAAAACAUAGGAGAAGAUGAAGUUGACAACCCAGACCUUGGGCAGAAAUCAAUUGCUUUACCUAUGAAUCUGAGAAGGUCAAUGACACAUUCUCAACAGCAUCACUCAACAGAAGAGUCAAAGCAGGUGCAACAAGGACAUUUGUGAUGCUCUGCUAGGACUUCAGAGUAGAAUCAAUGAUAUAAAACAGCGGAUGCAACAACUUCAAUACAUAGAUUCCGGAAUCAUUGAUGAUUUCAAAAGUAUUGAAGAUGAAGCUGACUAUUUUCCUGCAUCUUCAUCUUCUAAGAAUAGCGGCAUGGUGGGUCUAGAAGACAGAAUGGAGAAGUUGUUAGAUAUUUUGAAAGAGGGACCACCUCAGCUUUCAGUGGUGGCCAUCUUGAUAGCAUUGGGUUGGACAAUGUGGCUUUUGCUGCAGAGGCUUACAGCAGCAGUGAUGUGAAGCAUUAUUUUAAUUGUCACGCUUGGGUUCCAGAGCCUUACAGCUAUGACGCUGAUGAUGACCAAAUAUUAGAUAUCAUUAUUAAGUUUCUAAUGCCUUUAUCUAGGUUGAGUAUAAUAAAGGAUAAAAAUUAUGAAAUGAAAAAAAAAUUCAAGAACAUCUAAUGAUCAAGUGGUAUUUGAUUGUGGUUGAUGAUGUGUGGAGCAUUGAAGUCUGGGAUGUUAUUCGAGAAAUUGUUCUGGAUAAUCAGAAUGGAUGUGGAGUACUAAUAACACUCACUGAAAUUGAUAUUGUCAUCGCAUUUCAGUUCAAAAGCAGACAUAAUAUUUGGCUUGAUUUAGUGCCCACUAAGAGGACUAUUGAGAGUUGUUUACCUUUUUGAAGUACAUGGAACAACUAAUGAAUAGAGUCUUUGUUGAUGCAAAGAAGAGAAGUGAUGGAGGCAAAAUCAACGCAUGCCCUAUUCGUAGUCGUUGCUGGCCUUCAUUGUGGCAAACGGCUCUCAAAGCAGAAUUUAUCUUUUCAUCCUAUCCUGGAUCAGAAAGGUAAAUCGCGAAAAAAUGUCAACCAUGUCUACGUUUUUUAAAAACAGAGUGAUUUUGCUUACUUAGAUGAUUGUGACUCCCACCCGCAUUCUUUUGUCGUACUUCAAAAAGCGACCACCUUGACCCCAUAGAUUGGAUGAAAAUUUGUUAUACUUAAAAAAGCGACCACCUUGACCCCAUAGAUUGGGUGAAAAUUGUUUUGAGUAAUGGACUUGGGAUCUCUUGUUCUCAGCCAAUUUCCAUCCAAAAUUGAAACUUUAUUUCUUUGAUAUGAAGCUGAAUAUCCCUUCCCUCAAAAGCCUGGCUUUAUCAUUAUUAAGAAAUCUCUGAAUCUCUACACCAUAGCCAUUCCCUUUAGCUACAUAAAUCAUACAACAGAUGAAUUUUGGAAGAUGAACAAACUCAGGCAUCUAAAUUUUGGCUCGAUCAUACCUCCCGCACAUCCAGGAAAAUAUUGCGGCUCUUUGGAAAAUCUCAAUUUCAUUACAGCCACGCAUCCUUGCUGCUGUAUUGAAGAUAUAUUGAACAGACUACCUAAUCCUCAAAAUCUCUGGAUAUGAGGAGAUUUAUAUUUUUAUCAAUUUUUGAUGUCCCAAAGCCUUUGCAGAUUCAGAUGCCUCAAGUCAUUGAAGAUGGUGAAUGAAAGCAAGAUGCCAAGGCUCUUCAAAAUCGUCUGUGCCAAAUACCUACUUCCUCAAAGUCUAAUCCACUUGAGUUUUUCAAAUAUUGAACAAAUGGAUGAUCCCAUGCCUGCACUAGAAACGUUUCCACUUCUUCAAGUGCUCAAACUGAAGCAAAGCUCAUAUUUAGGUAAAUAGCUUACUUGUGGGCGUGAUGGUUUCCCAAAGCUCAAGAUAGUGCACCUGAAUUCAAUGCCAUGGCUAGAGAAGUGGACUAUGAGGCUUGGAGCCAUGCCAAAACUGGAAUGCUUGAUUCUCAAUUCUUGUGCUAAUUAGAAAAAGAUUCCUGAAUAGCUCUGGUGCACAAAGAGCUUAAACAAAUUCGAGUGUUGGUGGCUUCAGCCGGAGCUGAGACAAAAGCUACGGGACUUCGAGGAUAAGGCGCAGUAUGACAAUCAAGUAUAUCCUUAUGGAAUUUGAUUUGCAUGGAUUUAAUUAGAUGUAAGUUUUUCAUUUUAUGCUAUAUCAUCAACCUUUAAUUAUUAAUCUAAUUUCAUACAUUUUUUUUUCUUCUCCUCAAUAUAUUUGAUAGUACGCAGCUUGCUAAUGCUAUAAAGUGUUUUCUAAUUGUGGUUGCUUCUAAUUCUUGUCUCAACAUUAGACAUGAAGUGUUCAUCACAGUUCCUAUUGCUGACCCCGACCAUUUUCCCUUAAUUAUUUUUAGAAGAGGAAGAACCCUUGUGUAUUGAUUGUUGAACAGUCAGGAAAAACUAUAAUUUCAGAUCUUAAAUUACUAGCGCAGGUGAAAUCAUACCGGGAAAUAUGUCAAGUGUAGUGCAGCAAAAGUUUCAAUUUCAACCAGAAUCCGGCCUUGAUCCUUUCAGUAUUCACUUAUGUUGUCUACACAUUAUUGAGUCCUCAGGAUUGAUACAGGACAUUGUUGGGUUUCUUUGUUUUCAAGGAUCUGCUACAAGUAAUAAUGUCAAGUUUUUGGAUUCACUGUGUAUAUUCUAUUCGUGUGUCUUCAUUCUUGUAAUGUGCUUGAAACUCCAACUUAGUGUGGACGUGUGUGGUUUGGUCGUACCAUGUGUAAUACAUGUUAAUUGUCAUAAUUGUCUUAAGGGAAUUCUGCAUCACUUCCAUUAGAAGAAAAGUUUGGAUGUAGGCACCAUUGUUGCUGAAUCUACUGUUGAUUUGCUCUAUGUUUUCUAUAUUUUUUUUAAUUCAAUUUCGGGGAUUGCGUUUCUAGCGUUGAUUGUUGAUACAUCAGAGGACUAAAUAAAAGAAAUAGAAACUGGGGCAUAUUGCCUAAUCUUCAGAAUCUCCAAUUUUAUGGAGAUUCAAGUCCUUAUCAUUCAUAAAUAACUUGAAUGCUGGAUUGUUAUUAUCUUAGAUUCUCUAAAUAAUAAUCCAAAUAAGAAUGUAGGAAAAAUAUUGAUUACAAAUGCUUGUUUUGAACAAAUACUACCGAUUAUUUUAAAUUUUUGACAUAGAAAUUAUAAAUAGUAUUAGCAUGUGAAUUUUAAGGUAUUAGCCGAUUCUGUCCAAUUUUAGAGGUUGUUGCCUCAUGUUCACCUUAUAGUCGUUGGUUUUUGCUGAAAAAAUGAAUGUGUAUCAUUUUUUUUCCCUUUUAUUUUCUGUUAUACAUUGAUUCCCCUACUUCUAGCUGAUUCUGUUCUCCUUUAUAACGAGAAAGAAGUUAUUUUUUGUGCGCUUAUAUAUACAUGUUAAGCUUGGAUAUGUGUGGUUUGGUUUGUUUUAAUAAUAUGAUUGUGUGGUGUCAUCGGUAAUACUUUUUAAGGGUGCAAUCAAAUGAGUUUAUACCUUAUAGUGAAUUUGGUUAAUUUCAAGAUAUCAUUUUUUGGGAUCUUCGGCUUUGGUUGCUAAUACAAAAUUCCUCAAAUCUCGAUUGGAAUUUGGGAAUCCGUCCUAAAUGAUACAAGAUUUGAUAAAAGUUUCUCAUUCUGAUUUAUUAUUCGAGUUGAGAUUCAAGAUCUAAUUUUCUUCCAACUUAAUAUUCAAGACGGGAUUUGAGAUGUCUGAAAAUCUCAUUCGAGAUCCCUUAGGCAAUCAAAUGGGUCCAUAUAUCCUUAUAAUGAAUUUGGUUAAAUUCAAGAUACCCUUUUUUGGGAUCUCCCGCUCUAACUGUUAAUACGUGAACCUAGGCUGGCAAAAUUAUCCAGAUACCAAUCGAGAUACAAACCCUAUAUAAGAUUUGUUACAAAUUUCAUAUCCCAAUUUUCAAUGUAGGUCAGGAUUUAGGACCCCAUUUUAUACCGAUUCAUAAAUUUCUUUAUUUAGACAAUAACUGAUGACAUAUUAUUAGUUCAAAGCUCACGGAGUAAAGGUUGAAUUAUUGGUGCAAUCAUCCGCAAUUUUCUGCAAGCAUGCAACAUAUUAAACAAGAGAAUAUUUAAUUAUUUUUUGGGUUCUGUUAUUACAAUAAUGAUUUUGAAGAUAUUAGUUGGAGAAAAAUGGUUUUUUUAAGUCAUUUUCAAUCUUGAGAAAAAGUUUUCUUGCUGGCACACACUGUCUUUUAUCUAUAUUCUAGUCUUCCAUUAUGUUAAAAAAAAUAAAUAUGAAAAUAAAAAGAAAAUAGGACAUCAUCAAGUAUCAAUCAAAGAUCAAUUUGUUUUAUCCACUUUCAGGAAAGAAAAGGUAAAAGCAAUCCCACUGGGGACCAUAAAGUUUAUCUCAAAAGAAAAAGCACUACAAUAGUCGAACACAAAGAAGAGUAAUAAUGAGUAGAGCUGGCAAAACGGGUCAUCGGGUCGUGUUCGUGUCAUGUCAGCUUCGUAUCGUGUCAAAUUUAGGUCGACCCAAACCCGACCCAUUUAAUAAUCAUGUCAAAAUAUUGAGACCCAAACCCGACACGGAAAAAUAAUCGGGUAACCCAAUAACCCGUUUAAUAUCUAUAUAUUGAACAAAAGUUACAUCAAAUAUUUAUGCACUAUAGUACAUACGUAUGCACAUACAUACAUACAUAAUUUAUCGAUACUAUAAAAUAUACAUAUCUACGAAUAUAUUACACAUUUACACUAUUGAGGUUUUAAUUAUAUAUAUAUACAUAUACAUAUAUAUAUAUAUAUAUAUAUAUUAUAAAAUAUACAUGUCUAAAUGUAUUUAAAAUUUUAUAAAUAAAACACUGUGUUUAUAUUCACCCUUUUAAAGAAUAAAAAAAAAAUCAUCUCUAAUAUUUGAGUUUUAAUGAUAAGAAUAUGUAAAUUAUUUUAAAAUAGAAAAUAUAAUCGGAUCAUUGAUCGGGUAAAUGGGUCAAGAAUUUUAACCCUAACCCGACACGGAAAAAAAUAGUGUUGACCCGGACUCGACCCAUUUAAUAAUCGUGUUAAAUUUGACGACCCAUACCCAUUUAUUUAUGUCGUGUUCGUGUCGGGUAAUCGGGUCGUGUCAAAUUUUGCCAGCUCUAAUAAUGAGAAAGGAGUUGCAUAUAAGUUGAAGAUUUUUAUUUUUUUUUUAAAGAAGGGCCCGACAUCAUGAUGCUUUCAAUUAGCGAAGGAUAUAUGAAAAAGAGAUGAAUAUUGCACUUUAGAUUUGGAUAAUUCCGAUUGGAUUUUGAAUUGUUUGGAUUAGGAAAAAAAAAUCAUUCAAAUCCAACCUAAAUCUCAAAUACAAUCAAUUCGAUUCAAAAUAAAUAGAUAUUUCAGAUGAAUUUGGUUUUAGAUUGUUUAGUAUUUAAAUUCAAAUAGUAUUUUAAAUUCGGAUUGAAUUCGAAUUUAGGUCUUUUUGAUAAUUUUUACAAAACAAUCCUGAAUUCUAUAUAUAUAUGUAGAGUAGUUCAAUCCAAUCAGAUUGUUUAGAUUAAAACAUCCAAAUUCAAAUCAGAUCUAUUCGAAUCCAAUCCAAUGCACACCUUUAGCCCUAUUGAAUGAUCAUCUAACCAUUGAAACUAUAACGCAUUCUGUUGUAGUCUGUAGAGCGCUUGAAAAGAAAAUAUCUAAACAAUAGGGACUAUUAUGCAUUAGAUGCAUCAAUGAAUCAAAUUCUAAGGUGAUGCUUUUUUUCUUUAGACAAGCUUUAUGGUCCCAGUGGAAUUAUUUUUAAUCUUUCAGUCUUUUGAGAGGGCAAAAAAGAAACUAGUCUUGAUAGCUUAUUUUACUUUCUUCAUACAUAUACAUAUACAUAUAACACAAAUUAUAAGACACCCUUUUAUCUUCUUGCAUAAUUAAUAUUUUAUAUACACGUACAUUAUACCUCAGGUUUUGUGCAAAAAAUCAUUAUUGUACAUCAAUAAUUUCUCAAUAUAAUCCCUCUUUAUCAAUCAGUAUCCCCACGACAUCUACAGCAUUUAGUUUUAAGAUUCAUUUUCUAGUACUGCUCUGCCUUAAUCUGUUCUGCCUCAACAGCCACCUGAACUUGAUUCAACUUCUUGACAGAAGGAGGUAUUGGUGCCAUCCUCAGUUGAUUAUGUUGACUAAUGUUGAAUUAAAAGGAGAGCUUUUAACAAUUUUUUUUUAAUUAUUUUCUUUGCAUGCUAGGGCUACUGGCUACUGACUACCGAGAGUAAAGGAGAUAUGGACAUCAACCUUGGACUAUUUUCAGAGAGACUGAGAAGGGUGCUAGCUGCUGAAGAAUUCACGGUGCCCGAUGCUGCUGAACAACCUAUUCAGAACCUUUACACUGAGACUGAAAUCGUUGCUUCUUGGCUGAGGGACUCUGGAUACAACACUGCUUGGUUUAUGUAGCAAGUCAAUGCAGAAGAGGGUUAAACUCUGGCAAAAUUAGAAGAUUUUAAGGCUAUCAUUGACAAAAUUCAUUGUUUUUCAUACGUAUCUGAGAAUGUGAUUGACACAUUUGCUAUUAGCAUCACUCAACAGAAGAGUCAAAGCAGAUGCAGCAAGGACAUUUGUGAUGCUCUGCUAGGACUCCAAAGCAAAAUCAUUGAUAUAAAACAACGGAUGCAGCAAGUUCAGCACAUCCACUCCCGAAUCGUUGAUGAGCUCAAAUCGUUUGAACCAAAAGCCGGUAAUUUUCCUGCAUCCUUGUCUUUUAAGAAUAGGGACACGGUGGGUCUAGAUAAUAAAAUGGAGGAGUUAUUAGAUCUACUGACAGAGGGACCGCCUCAACUUUCGGUAGUGGCCAUACUCGAUAGCAUUGGAUUGGACAAGACGGCUUUUGCCGUAGAGGCUUACAGCAGCAACUAUGUGAAGUAUUAUUUUGAUUGUCACGCUUGGGUUGAAGAGUCUUUAUUGUAUGAUGCUGACCAAAUAUUAUACGACAUUAUUAAGUUUGUGAUGCCUUCAAGUAGGUUGAGUGAAAUUAUGGAAGAAAGUUCGGAAAUGAAAAAAAUUAUUCUUCAUGAAUAUCUAAUGACCAAGCGUUAUUUGAUUGUGCUUGAUAAUGUGUGGAGAAUAUCAGUAUGGGAUGUUAUUCGAGAAAUACUUCCCGAUAGUCAGAAUGGAAGUAGAGUAUUGAUAACACUCAGUCGAAUUGAGAUCGUCGCCUCAUUUCAGUUCGAAAAUGGAGAGAACAUUGGGCUUGAUUUUCUGCCCACUGGAGGACCAUUGAGAGUUACAUACCAAGGAUGGCCUUUCCACAUCUUAUAUCAUGAAAGCAUCUCACUGAAAGAAAAUAUAGAGGAAGCACUUGAUGAACCCCGGGGGCUUCAAGUCCUUGCAUAUUGUAUGUUAACUUUUUACUUGAAACUUUGUUGUCUCUACUUAUCUGUGUUUCCUGUACACUUUGAGAUAUCCACCAAGCAAUUAUAUCAGACGUGGAUAGCCUAAGGUUUCAUUCCAAACAACAAUGAGGCAACUGCCGAGAAAUACUUAGAACAGCUAAUCAAUGGAGGCUUUGUUAUCCUCAUUGAAGAAGCCAAGGGAUUUGUAUUUAUAUAUAAACAUUUAACCAUGCAUGAACAAGAAUUUUAAGGAUAGAGACUCUUUCCACACGCGUGUACGCGAGGGGAGGGGGGCAAAUCCAUGACCGAUUUGGUUGAACUUGUGUGCGCCCGCGAAUGUCAGCCCAAGCACGCAUGGCACGUGUUUUAUUUCCUUUUAAAUUUGUUGUAAUAGUUUCACACCUUUUGAAUUCAAAAGAUUUGUAAUAGCUUCGCAAUUAUUUUGGGCUGUUCUGCAAUUCAAUUUUUGAAUUGAAUUGUUUAAAAUUCAAUGGCUGUUACAGCAAUUAAAUUGCAUAUAUUGAAUUCUGAAAUUCAAUUUUUAUGCUAUUGUUACGUACCCACAUGAGUAUAAAAAGGCACCUUCUUCUUCUGUUUUUACACACACUGAAACCAGCACACAGAGCACUUACAAUUUUUCUUUCUUCCUUCUUUUGUCUUGUUUUCUGAUCGAGUUUACCGUUGUUGUAGUUCGCCGGAAUUAUCUGUCUGUGCUUGACAGAAAAUUCGUGCCCGUUGUAUCCUGGGAAACAGUUACCAGUAAACCUAAAGCACUUCAAUAGGUGGUAAAUCUGUUUUAAGGACACUGUAUUACAGGCCUCGAGUUUAUUUUCUUCAGUUGUUAUUUUUUUUCCUGUUGUUUAUAUCAGUUGUUGUUUUGCUGUAGUCAAAUUAGCUACUAGUUUAUUUGUUUAACUCACUGUGAUUAUUUUUUAUAACAUUGAAAUCGUCGCCUCAUUUCAGUUUAAAAAUGGAGAGAACAUUAGGCUUGAUUUGUGCCCACUGGAGGACCAUUGAGAGUUACAUACCAAGGAUGGCCUUUCCACAUCUUAUAUCAUGGAAGCAUCUCACUGAAAGAAAAUAUAAAGGAAGUACUUGAUGAACUCCGAGGGCUUCAAGUCGUUGCAUAUUGUAUGUUACAUUUUUACUUGAAACUUUGUUGUCUCUACUUAUCUGUGUUUAUUGUAUACUUUGAGAUAUCCACCAAGCAAUUAUAUCAGUUGUGGAUAGCUGAAGGUUUCAUUCCAGACAACAAUGAAGCAAUUGCUGAGAGAUACUUAGAACAGCUAAUCAAUGGAGGCUUUGUUGAUGUAGGGAAGAAAAGUGACAGAGGCAGAAUCAACACGUGCUCUAUUCCUGGGCGUUGCAGUCUUGCGUUGUUGACUGGGGCUUUCGAGGGGGAAUUUGUCAUUUCCCCAAUCAUGGAUCAGGAAGUUAAAUUACGAGAAAAUGUGAAACGCUUCACCGCUCAUGGAAAUUUGAAUGAUUUUGAAUUUUUAGAUCAUUUUGACUCGUUCCUCCAUUCUUUGUUGCACCUCACUUUAGGAAGCCACUACCUUGACCCCAAUUAUUGCGAGAAAAUCUGUAAAAUGUUCAACUUUCUUAGAGUAUUGGACUUGGGAUCUCUUGUUCUCAUCCGAUAUCCUUCCGAAGUCGAAAAUUUAUUUCUUUUGAGAUAUCUAAACUUGAAUAUCCCUUCCCUGAAAAGCCUUCUGUAACGCCACAAAUUUCCAUAAUAUUAAAUUAUAGAAAUUGGGCUUUCAUUGAUAAUUAUGGGUGGCCUAUAACCCUUAUUAAGAAAGGGAUACUAAAUUAUAAAUAGAGGUUAUUUAUGAGAUAGUUUUGAAAAAGGGUUAUUUUUCCUUAUUAAAUAGGGUUUCUUAAGAUUCCCUAUAAAUUCAUACUUUUCCUCUUCCAUAACCCUUAGUCCAUGACAUUUAUUCUUCUCCUCUGCUGCUCUUUACGCUCCUACCCAAAUCCUAGGAUUCAAACCUUUGUUUAGGACAGAAUCAAAGCAACGGGUAAGUUAUUCUCCUUAUUCUCAACAGAUUUCUAAUCACUCUAUCUAGGGUUUAUAUUGGCACGAUUCUAGAUGGUUAUAGAUCAUAAUGCAUGAUUUAGAAUGUAUUUAGGCUUUGUUUAGGGUUUUGAUUUAUUAUGAGUUUAGUUAAUCAAUUCUUGACGUACGUAUUAAGCACACAGGAUAAUUCUGAACAGCAUGAGUAUCUCGAAUUUAAACCUAUAUUUUCUGAAAGAGUUUUCUUAUGAAAUUUAUAUUUCUGGAAACUAGACAUGUAGGGCUUCUUGAGUAAAUUUUAUUUCUUUAAAUUCGACUUCGGUUUCAAUUUUAUAUGUAUUUUCGAAAUAGAAACCACUGCACUGGAAAACUACGAUUCCAGCAUUGCGAUCGGAUUCACAAGAUUAUUUGUACCACAAAUGAACUCAGAAAAUUCGGAAAGUUUAUAUGUAGGUUAAUAUAUGUGUUUAGGAUUCCCAGUUUUAAUUUCAUAAUUUUCUGAUUAUUAUUUUAUUUUAUAAAAAUCAAAGAACCCGUUCUGUUUGGUUUAGAUUAUGUGAAAACAGUUUCGAAUUUGCUGAGAAGCAAAUAGUUUUUAAAAUGUUUUUGAUGUCAGAUCCUCUUACCAAUUUUACAUGGGGUACUCAUGGAUGUCCAGAAUAGUUUCAUAGAAUAUUAUAUCAUUCUGAGUUUUAGAUUAAGAGUUAAAAUUCUGAGAAUCAGACCUGUACGGGUAUGAAUUAGAAAAUCAGAUUCCUAUAAUAAGUUAUUAAUUGUCAUAUCUUGUAUUUGUUUAAGGUAUUGAAGGUGAUUGAGGCUCUUAGAAGCUUAGAGGUGUGUUAAUUCAAAUUCAUUUGUCGAGGUAAAUAACUUCAUUCCUAAUGUACUGGAUAUGUAUAAGUAUUUUGAUAUUAUUAUUAUAAGUAUAAAUGUUGUUAUACUACUUAAAGGAUUAAUUGAUUUUGAUAACAAAAUUAGUUUUAUGUAAAUGUUUUCAAACCCAAAUUCUUUUUAACAAAGUAUUUUAUAAAUGUUUUUAAUAUGUAAAUGAUUUUAUGACAUGACAACCUUUUAUGAUUUUAUCUUUAAAAUGUUAUACAAGCCUAAAUUAUUGAUAUGAACUUUUAUGAAACUGAUACGAAUGUUUUGUACCUAUGUUUGAUUUCAAUUAUUGAUGAUUGUAUGAGAUUCUUAAUGUUUUGGCUCAUUGUCCAUAGUUAUUCUGAUUCUGAUUCUGAUUCUGAUCGUAAUAUACGAUAAAAUUUUGGAGAAACAAAAUUUCAUGAUAUACCAAAUUUUAUCUUGAUUCACACCAUCUUACCAUCCACCUUAUGAAUAACACAUCAUUUAAAAAAAAUUAGGAUAAAAUCACUCGGGAUAAAAAAAGCAGAAUAACAUUUGAGAUGUCUAGUUUUUAAUUAAGUCUGUGUAUGUGUAUGCUGAAGAAAAAAAUUAUGAUCAGAAUCAGAAUUGGAUGUUCGAGCUGUGGUUUCGGUAAUGGGGUGAAUUGGCAUUUUGAUAACAAAAAAAUUAGGUUUCUUUUAAUACAAUUUUACAAAUUUUGUUUAAUCUAAAUCAAACAUAGGUACAAAACAUUCGUAUCAGUUUCAUAAAAGUUCAUAUCAAUAAUUUAGGCUUGUAUAACAUUUUAAAGAUAAAAUCAUAAAAGGUUGUCAUGUCAUAAAAUCAUUUACAUAUUAAAAACAUUUAUAAAAUACUUUGUUAAAAAGAAUUUGGGUUUGAAAACAUUUACAUAAAACUAAUUUUGUUAUCAAAAUCAAUUAAUCCUUUAAGUAGUAUAACAACAUUUAUACUUAUAAUAAUAAUAUCAAAAUACUUAUACAUAUCCAGUACAUUAGGAAUGAAGUUAUUUACCUCGACAAAUGAAUUUGAAUUAACACACCUCUAAGCUUCUAAGAGCCUCAAUCACCUUCAUACCUUAACAAAUACAGAUAUGACAAUUAAUAACUUAUUAUAGGGAUCUGAUUUUCUAAUUCAUACCCGUACAGGUCUGAUUCUCAGAAUUUAACUCUAAUCUAAAACUCAGAAUGNNNNNNNNNNNNNNNNNNNNNNNNNNNNNNNNNNNNNNNNNNNNNNNNNNNNNNNNNNNNNNNNNNNNNNNNNNNNNNNNNNNNNNNNNNNNNNNNNNNNNNNNNNNNNNNNNNNNNNNNNNNNNNNNNNNNNNNNNNNNNNNNNNNNNNNNNNNNNNNNNNNNNNNNNNNNNNNNNNNNNNNNNNNNNNNNNNNNNNNNNNNNNNNNNNNNNNNNNNNNNNNNNNNNNNNNNNNNNNNNNNNNNNNNNNNNNNNNNNNNNNNNNNNNNNNNNNNNNNNNNNNNNNNNNNNNNNNNNNNNNNNNNNNNNNNNNNNNNNNNNNNNNNNNNNNNNNNNNNNNNNNNNNNNNNNNNNNNNNNNNNNNNNNNNNNNNNNNNNNNNNNNNNNNNNNNNNNNNNNNNNNNNNNNNNNNNNNNNNNNNNNNNNNNNNNNNNNNNNNNNNNNNNNNNNNNNNNNNNNNNNNNNNNNNNNNNNNNNNNNNNNNNNNNNNNNNNNNNNNNNNNNNNNNNNNCAAGAAUUGAUUAACUAAACUCAUAAUAAAUCAAAACCCUAAACAAAGCCUAAAUACAUUCUAAAUCAUGCAUUAUGAUCUAUAACCAUCUAGAAUUGUGCCAAUAUAAACCCUAGAUAGAGUGAUUAGAAAUCUGUUGAGAAUAAGGAGAAUAACUUACCCGUUGCUUUGAUUCUGUCCUAAACAAAGGUUUGAAUCCUAGGAUUUGGGUAGGAGCGUAAAGAGCAGCAGAGAAGAAGAAUAAACGUCGUGGACUAAGGGUUAUGGAAGAGGAAAAGUAUGAAUUUAUAGGGAAUCUUAAGAAACCCUAUUUAAUAAGGAAAAAUAACCCUUUUUCAAAACUAUCUCAUAAAUAACCUCUAUUUAUAAUUUAGUAUCCCUUUUUUAAUAAGGGUUAUAGGCCACCCAUAAUUAUCAAUGAAAGCCCAAUUUCCAUAAUUUAAUAUUAUGGAAAUUUGUGGCGUUACAAAUUUCCUCCAAGUCUAGCCCACUUGAGUUUUUCAAAUAUUGAGCUAAUGGAUGAUCCCAUGCCGGCACUAGAAAAGGCUGGCGGUUCUUCAGGUGCUCAAACUAAAGCAAAACUCGUAUUCAGGUAGAUAGUUGGCUUGUAGCUCUGAUGGCUUUCCAAAACUCAAGGUGCUGCACCUUAAGUCAAUGUUAUGACUAGAGGAAUGGACUAUGGGGAUUAGAGCCAUGCCGAAACUAGAAUUCUUAAUCAUCAACCCUUGUGCUCACUUGAAAAGGAUUCCUGAACAGCUUUAGUGCCUAAAGAGCUUAAACAAAUUGGAGUUGUAGUGGCCUGAGCCGGAGCUAAGACAACAGCUACGGGAAUUCGAGGAUAAGGAGCAGUAUGGCAUUCAGCUAUAUCCAUAUGGAAUUUGAUUAGCGUGGAUCGAAUUUGAUGUAAGUUUUUUUUCCUUUUUAUCCAAUAACUUCAACCUCUAAUUAUUUAUCUAAUUUCAGGUAAACAUCUAUUCUCUAUGAUUGAUUCGAUAGUACGCAGCAGCCUAAAUAAUAAUGAUACCAUAAAGUGUUUUCAAUCUAAUUUUUGUCUCAACAAAGACUUGGAAGUGUCCAUCAUAUUCCCUGAUACUGACACUAAUCAUUAAUCGCUUAUUAAUAGAAGAGGCAGAACCCUUAUGUAUUGGUUGUUGAAAUAAUCAAGAAAAACUGUAAAAUAAGAUAUGCAAUUACUUGUAUGUGUAGGUCAAAGCAGAGCGGAAAAUAUCUUAACUGUACUGCAGCCAAAGUUUCAAUUUCAAUAAGAAUCCAGCCUUCACUGAAAUUGUGUGGUUUCUUUUUUUUUUUUUUGAUAAGAAUUGUAUGGUUUCUUUGUUUUCACGGAUUAGUAAUUUGUACAAAAGUUUUAUUGAUUGUUUUACUUUCUAUUUUCCCAUUCACUGGUGUGUAUUCAAUUUGUCAACAUUGAAGUUGCAUAUAUGUUAUUGUUUUUUAUUUUAUUUUAUUUUUCUAGUUUUUUAGUAGUGGUACAGUUCAAUCUCAUUACUUUAGUUAAACGAAAAAUGUUUGUGCUGUGAUCACACCUCAUUAUCUUAAAACUGACAGAACGAUAUUGUCAUUCGGUUUUUUAGAAUUUCGCCGACGUGUCGUCCAAUGUAAGGGCGACAAUGCUGGUCAAAAGUCAGUUGGGGUUCGUUAAAAUAGAGCAUGGAAAUUUCGGGUUUGUUGGAAAUAACCUUUAUUGUAGUUUAUAACGCUGGUUGUUGGGUCAUCUUCACAGGUCUCAUCAAAGCCAUAGAAAGAGAAAGAGUUAAAGAGAAAAAGUUGCAUAUUCUUGGAAUGAUUGUGAAAUGGUCCUUGUUCUUCAGUGGAUGUAGGCACUUUGAUUCAAUUUUGAGUUUCGGUUUCCGGAAUGAUUCUUGAUACGUCAAAGAGGGUCUUAGGUGUGUGAUCUUGGUACUAACAGAGGAUUAAACACAACAAAAAAGAAACUGUGGCAUAUUGUCUAAUCUUCAUAGACUCCAAAUAUAUGGAGAUUUUAGCCCUCGUCAAUCUGGGUUGUCCAACAGCCCUUGUAAAAUCAAAAACCAUCACUAAUCCUUGGUGACUUUAGGGAUCUAGUAAGGACUAGGUAGAAUUGAAGAGGAGAUUUAACGAGUGAAGUUCUGAAAGUGGAAGAUUUAAAAUUUAAUCUGUAGCGUUGCAGAUUUUGGAAUCUUCGUUAGAAUUGAUGACUGAAUUCUUUCUCUAUUGGUUGAUUAGCAGCCCAAUUGCACUAAAAGAAUAAAGAGCAGCUAUAAUCGUUUUCACAUUUUCCCUUCCAGCAUCCAGAGGGUGCCUUGUAAUGCAGUGCAAUGAAGUUGAUGGCGAGAGGAUGUGCUGCUGCUCACUCAAUUCCUUACAGUCACAUCAAAGCCCUUGUUUGCAGCAGAGGAAUUCCCUUUUGUAUUCAAAUUGAUCCUUCUGCUUUGGUUGUCAUUGGAUUCUUACCACUCUUUAGCCAGUAACAUAAUGUUGAGUUUAUUGAUUUUGCUAUCUUAAGAAUGUCCAAGACAUCUUGUAAUCAUGAUAUAUUGUCAUUUUAUUUUGAGACAAAUGACUUUUUUCCCAGUUAGCAAAUGCAUAUUGCUUUCAUUUUUUGGAUUGGAAAAACAAAAAUUGGAAGAAGAAAAAUGAAAAUUAAUAAACAAAAAAAAGAUUACAGGACAUCAGCAUCAUGUUCUUUUCUUUGAACUAAGUCUUUGUUUAACCUUUCUCCUUUUCCAUUUUGUGAGUUUGGUAUCUCUUUCUUUACUUGAACCAAGAUUUUUCCUUUACUUACAAGUAAAGUUUAACUAAUCUUGAUCUUUUAUUUUUCUCUGAACUUAUUUUUCUUUCACAUGCACGAUCAUUUUCAAUUCUAACAAAUCAUUCAUCUAUCAAUACCCAAUUUGAAUAAAAUUCAGCAUUCCUUUCUAUCAAUACCCAAUUUGAAUAAAAUUCAGCAUUCCUUUUCCUAUUCUUUCUAUGUAAUAAUUUGAUUGUGUUGUUUUUAAUCAAAAUAAGAUAUAUAUCGUCAGGAUAUUGAAGUUUGUGAUCACUUUAAGAAAAAACAGGUAGUUUAAUAUCUGAAUUAUCCACAAAAUAACUCCAUUUUAUUAUUUUUAUAUCAUGAAUGUGAGGUUCAUGAUUUAUUUGUGUUUGAUUCUUGUUUACAAGUUAUGUUUUUCCUCACACGUUUCAUAUGAUCACAAAUCAAAUAAAAAGGGGGAAAUUAAAAAAAAAAAGAUUGAAAGCUUGCUUAUUUUGAGUACAAGCACAAUCUUGCUCAUUUCCAGGACGAAAUUUAUUAUGUUACAUUUAGAAAUGCGUUAAGAGAUUAAUUUGUCACAUGAUGGUUUCUAGGUAGAAUCUUUCCAAGCUAAUUUGCAUUUUAUAAAAAUUUUCUUUCUAUUCGUUUUACGUAACGAUUAGUCAACAAUCUUGGUUUGAGAAUGCAUACUCAACAUGAGGAUAUAAGAUUCAUUUCCGGCACUCUGCCUUUCAUCUCUUGUAAUUUGACUGUCAGCAAUCUUGAUUUAACUUUUUGAAUGGCAACACUCGGCAGGAUUAAUUAGAGAAGGAGGUAUCAGGCAUAGGGUUCUGAGUAGAGUUUCAUCAACAAUUAAUGCUAGUUAAUGUUUGAAUUGAGAGACAUGGAAAUUUCUUAUUAUUAUUUUUUUAAUCUUUUAAUCAUUGUCUCUCUCAAUUAUGUCUCAAUUUGCAUGUUAGGACCACUAGGCACAGAGAGAGGAGGAGAUAUGGACAUCAACUUCAGACUAUUUUCCGAGAGGCUGGGACGGGUGUUAGCUGGUGAAGAAGUCACGUUGCCUGAUGCUGCAAAACAACCUAUUCAGAACCUUCAUGCGGAGGUUGAAAUCGUUACUUCUUGGCUGAGUGAAUUUGAAGAUGAUAUCUCUUGCCUUUUGAUGCAAAAAAUAGGAGAAGUUGAAAUUGACAACCCAGAUCUUGGGACCGUUAUGGAUGAAAUCAAUUGCUUUACUUAUGAAUCUGAGAAGUUCAUUGACACAUUCAUCAACAGCAUUACUCAACAGAAGAGACAAAGCAGGCGUAGCAAGGACAUUUGUGAUGCUCUGCUAGGACUCCAAAGCAAAAUCAUUGAUAUAAAACAACGGAUGCAACAAGUUCAGCACUUCGAUUCCGGAAUCAUUGAUGAAGUCAAAUCAAUUGAAGCUGAAGCCGGUAAUUUUCUUGCAUCUUCAUCGUCUAAGAAUAGGGACACGGUGGGUCUAGAUGAUAGAAUGGAGGAUUUGUUAGAUCUAUUGAUAGAAGGACCACAUCAACUUUUAGCAGUGGCCAUACUUGAUAGCAUUGGAUUGGACAAGACGGCUUUCGUCGCAGAAGCUUACAGCAGCAACUAUGUGAAGCAUUAUUUUGAUUGUCACGCUUGGGUUCCAGAGCCUCACAGCUAUGAUGCUCACCGAAUAUUAGAUAUCAUUAUUAAGUUUCUAAUGCCUUCAUCUAGACUGAGUGAAAUAAAGGAUAAAAAUUAUGAAAUAAAAAAAAUAUUCCUCGUGAAUAUCUAAUGACCAAGCGGUAUUUGAUUAUUUUUUUAUCAUGUGUGGAGAAUAUCAGCAUGGGAUGUUAUUCGAAAAAUACUUCCCGAUAAUCAGAAUGGAAGUAGAGUAUUAAUAACACUCGCUCAAAUUAAGAUUGUCACCUCAUUUCAGUUCGAAAACGGAGAGAACAUUGGGCUUGAUUUUGUGCCCACUGGAGGACUAUUGAGAGCUACAUACCAAGGAUGGCCUUUCCACAUCUUGUAUCAUGGAAGCAUCUCAUUGGAAGAAAAUAUAGACAAAGUAUUGACCAUGUCCCUUGGGCUUCAAUGUAUCAUAUAUUGUAUGUCACCUUUUUGCUUGAAACCUUGUUUUCUCUACUUCUCAGUGUUUCCCGCACACUUAGAGAUAUCCACCAGGCAUGUAUAUCAACUGUGGAUAGCUGAAGGUUUCAUUGAAGACAAUAAUGAGGCAACUGCUAAGAAGUACUUAGAGCAACUAAUCAACAGAGGCUUUGUCGAAGCAAAUAAGAGAAGAGCUGGAGGCACAAUCAACACAUGCUCUAUUCCCGGUCGUUGCCGUCCUGUAUUGUUAGGAGUGGCUUCCAAGGUGGAAUUUAUCUUUUCCCCUUUCAUGGAUAUAGAAGGUAAAUCAUAAAAAAAUGUCAAACGUUUCUACACUUUAGAACAACAGAGUGAUUUUGCUUGCUUAGAUGAUUAUGACUCGCAACUGCAUUCUUUCUUGUGCUGCUCUCCAGAAAGCCGCCACAUUGACCCCAUAGAUUGGGAGAAAAUUUGUGGAAUGUUCAAACUUCUCAGAGUGUUGGACUUGGAAUCUCUUGUUCUCAUCUAGUAUCCAUCCGGAAUUGAAAAUUUAUUUCUUUUGAGAUAUUUGAAGUUGAAUAUCCCUUCCCUCAAAAGCCUGUCUUCCUCAUUAUUAAGCAAUCUUCUGAACCUCUACACCCUAGACAUGCCCUUUAGCUAUAUAGAUCAUACGGCAGAUGAAUUUUGGAAGAUGAAAAAACUCAGACAUCUAAAUUUUGGGUCAAUCACACUUCCUGCGCAUCCAGGAAAAUACUGUGGCUCUCUGGAAAAUCUAAAUUUCAUUUCAGCCUUGCACAUUUGCUGCUGUAUUGAAGAUAUAUUAGGCAGGCUACUUAAUCUUCAAAAUCUCUGAAUGCGGGGAGAUUUAAGUUAUGAUCAAUCUUUGCUGUCUCAAAGUCUCUGCAGAUUGAGCUGUCUCAAGUCAUUGAAGCUGGCGAAUGAAAGCAAGAUGCCAUGGCUCUCCAAAAUCGUCCUUGCUGAAUACCUAUUUCCUCAUAGUCUAACCCACUUGAGUUUUUCUAAUACUGACCGAAUGGAUGAUCCCAUGCCGGUGCUAGAAACGUUGCCGCUUCUUCAAGUGCUCAAACUGAAGCAAAACUCGUAUUCAUACAGAAAGCUGACUUCUGGACUAUGGGGAAUGCAGCCAUGCCAAAACUAGAAUGCUUGAUUAUCAACCCUUGUGCUUACUUGAAAAAGAUGCCUGAACAUCUCUGGUGCAUAAAGAGCUUAAACAAGUUCGAUUGCUGGUGGCCUCAACCAGAGCUGAGACAAAAGCUACGGGAAUUUGAGGAUAAGGAACAGUGUGGCAUUCAACUAUAUCCUUAUGGAAUUUUUUUUUAUUACAUGAGACUAUUGCUCAAACUACAACUCAUAUUACAUGAGGUUAUAACUGAUAUUUAUAAAUCAGACUAUUACUGGGACCAACUUACAUCAAUGCUAAUGGAGCUCUACCCAAAUUUUAACCCUCACAAAUAUUCGAGGAAUGUCUACUCCUCACUCUUGGGUAAGAAGGAAGACUACCUUCACUCAAUUUUUAAUGAAGGAAGGAAAUACCCCCACAAUGCAUUUGUGGGGGUUCGAACUGCUGCCCUCCAACUUGGAGGGCAGCAACUCUAACCACUCGGCCUUUGGCCGAGUGGCUAUCCUUACGGAAUUUGAUUAGCCCCUAUUGAACUUGAUGUAUGUUUCUCAUUUUACACAAUUUCUUCAAAUUUUAAUUAUUUAUCCAAUUUCAUAUAUUUUUUCCCCUUUUCUUCAAUACAAAAAUGGUUAUACAAAUUGUUUUCUUCUAAUUUGCCUCAACAUUAAAUACCCUUUAGAGUUUCUAAUGCUCACCCCAAUCAUCAACCCUCUUCAAUACAUCGAUGUUCAUUUGUUUUAGUAGUUAAGAAAAAAAAUAUAUAAUUUAGAUUUCUUAUUUUUCACAAUUUCUUCAAUGACUUGUGUAGGUGAAAUUAGAGCAAAAAUGUCAAGACCCAACCCAGACCUGGCAAGAUAUUGUCCGCUUUACGCCCAUACACCCCAAGAACAAAUCCGUGCGGGCCUUGUUAAGGCCCAAAGCGAACAAUAUCUUGCCAGGUCUGGGUUGGGUCUUGACAUUAUGGUAUCAGAGUGGCUUCGCGUGUCCACUUGUGCGAUGGUGGGGCAAACCUCAGCGAGGACGCUGAGUCCCCAAGGAGGGGUGUAUGUAACACCCUAGGCAAAUCCCAAAUCGGCAAAGCACGGGAGAGAUGAUGAGUUUAUAAGGGGUGAUCCACACCUUAAUUGGCAAGACACGUUUUGGGGUGUAUGGGCGCCCCAAGAACAAAUCCGUGCGGGCCUUGUUAAGGCCCAAAGCGGACAAUAUCUUGCCAGGUCUGGGUUGGGUCUUGACAUUAUGGUAUCAGAGCGGCUCCACGUGUACUCUUGAGCGAUGGUGGGGCAAACCUCGGCGAGGACGCUGAGUCCCCAAGGGGGUGUGUAUGUAACACCCUAGGCGAAUCCCACAUCGACAAAGCACGGGAGAGAUACUGGGUUUAUAAGGGGUGAUCCACACAUUAAUUGGCAAGAUGCGUUUUGGGGUGUAUGAGCACCCCAAGAACAAAUCUGUGCAGGCCUUGUUAAGGCCCAAAGCGGACAAUAUCUUGCCAGGUCUGGGUUGGGUCUUGACAUUAUGGUAUCAAAGCGGCUCCGCAUGUCCUCUCAAGCGAUGGUGGGGCAAACCUCAGCGAGGACGCUGAGUCCCCAAGGGGAGGUGUAUGUAACACCCUAGGCAAAUCCCACAUCGGCAAAGCACGGGAGCGAUGUUGGGUUUAUAAGGGGUGAUCCACACCUUAAUUGGCAAGACGGGUUUUGGGGUGUAUGGGCGCCCUAAGAAAAAAUUCGUGACAAGAAAACAUCAUGACUGUAGCCCGAGCUUCAAUUUCAACCAGAACCUUUCCGUCUUCACAUUUGCUGUCUACACAAAUAAGUCUUGAUCCUACAGUGGUGGACUUUUUUUGGUUUCUUUGUUUCCGCUGUCUAUUCAUAAAUAAGAAGUUUUGUUUUGGCUUUUCAGUUGAUAGUUCAUUGAUUUGUGCUUCGGCCAUGGUUUCGUUAAUUGUGUACAAAAAAUAAUUACUAUUUGUGAUGCUUGCUAGUGUUUGGGUUGAGUUGAAUGUAUUUUCUGUCUUUGUUCUGUUGCUUGCUCUGAAAUCCUGUUUCAAAGGAUGGGCAAGUCUGGCACUCAAUAGGUUCCGUUUAUUUCCAGAAAAGAUUAAUUAUUGAUGAACUUCACACUUGGCUGAAUGUCUUAGUAAACGUUCUUGUGGAGAAAUCCUAAUACCCGCUUAGGCAAUACAAUGAGGCAGAAAUACUAAUACUGCUGUACAUGUGUUGAUUGAUUAACAGCUUUGUUCUCUGAUAUUCUUUCUUUAUCUGUUGCAGAAAUUCCUUCAAUAUGAUUGAUAGUUGCUACUAAUUAUAGAAGCAUCCCUCCUUUGGCUCAUUCAAUGGAAUAUGAAAGACAGAUUACUGAGACAAAGUCACGCUUCAUUACCUUCCCAAAGAAAGUUGAAGUUUGGGCUGCGUACUUGGGAGUGGAAUGAAGAGCGGCAGCAAAAUGAUUACAAGGAUUGCCAUUUACAGGGGCACUUUUGUGACUACUGAUGUGUCCCUCUAAUGGUUCAAUAAAUUGAAACCACGUCUAGUAAAAGCUAGAAAAACGCCGUGUUAUAGUAAGCAUCGACUUUCAAUAAUAGAAUUUUGUGUGCAAGUGUGAAGUUCAUCAAUAAUCAAUCUUUAUAACUAUUGCCUACGGUAUAAAAAUAUUUAUAAAAGAGCAAGUAAUUGCAAUCCCUCGUUCAAAUUUAUAACAAAUCAACUAUAAAAAUAUUCAGAGCAAAAUUCAAGAUUAAAUUAUGUUCUAUAUUGGAUCACACGUUAAAAUAGUUAUCAAGAUAUGCAUGUAUAUAAUUAAAUAAAUGUAGAAAUUUAAUUUGGUUUGUUAGCAUUCCAUUAAGAAUAAAUUUAAACAAUUAACUAAUUAAAUCCUCGUUGAAUAAUUAUUAAGCUUCAUUUAAACUAAUAAAAUAUGUUUGUGAUAUGAUAUCUCAUAACAAAUUAACUAACGACUUUGAAAUUUAUGCUAUCUAUCUCAUGAAAUUUAUCAAACUCAUACUUGAUUCUUAGAUCAAGUUACAAAAAUCGUGUGAGGUGAAUCAGUAGAUUAAGGGCUAGCUCAAGUGAAGCUUUGAGGCAGCAGAAUCAACACAUGCCACAUUUUAAUAUUGUCAUUAUUAUUAGCAGUGUAUCAAAUUUGAAAAGUAAUUCCAGUUGUCUUUGUUUCAGCUGUGUACUCAUUAAGUAAGAGAUUUCAUUUCAGCAGAGAGUUGACUGUGUAUAAAAAUAAAGAAUGUUUGUGAUGCUUUCUAGUCUUGGAUUAAGUGGGAUUAAUGUAUUUUCUAUAAAAACUGAUCAAAAAUUUCCUCCCAUGGAUGCAAGCUAAUGCAAAUUAGUUGAACCACGUUGAAUUGAUUUUUCCUCUGUUGGUUCUUUCAAUUCUUUAAUUCAAUUUGAUCUUAAUUGCUUUUUGUUCUUUCAUCAUUAUCUUGUUUCAAUUCCAUUUUCAAUUGAGCUUCAAAUUAGUUCAUUCUUGGUAGCAUCUUGAUUGAUUGGAUUGUGAUAUUGGGCAGCAACUGAGGUAUCUCUGGUUUUAAGCACUCCAGUUGCUACAGUUAGGCACUCAAUCAAUAUGCUUUGUUCAUUUACAGAAGAGAUUUGAUUAUUGAUGAACUUCAUACUUGCCUGACUCUGUAAAGAAAUUGUAUGAAUCAAUAAUUUAUCAAUGAGUAACGUUACAAUUUAUACAAGUCAAGCAUACUUGGAUGAUAAGCCAAACACUAUAAGAUAAGUCAUAGCCUAUAAGAUAAAUACAAGCUAAGCCAUAGCCUAUAUGAUAAUUACAAGAUAACGGUAAAGAGAUAUAAGAUAAGAUUACAAGUUAUUGAAACAGAGAGUAGUUAUCUAUGUACAUGUUUGGCUAAUACUCUGAUCCCGUGUAGUGGGUUGGGAGGAUUACAUGGAGAUGCUAUUAAAGCUAAGGCAUAAGGCAGAGAUUAACAAACACAAUGAUUAGCAGUAGGUCGUUAUUAAAUAUUAUUUAACGUGAGGAACAAGAUUUUCAGCCUCGCUUCAUAGUGCUAACUACUUCGACUUUGUCUGUUACUUGGAAACUUUGGUGCCUUCCAUGACAAUCAUUUUGUGGCAGCACAGUGAACGAUUCUGUUGCUUUUGCUUUCAAUGAACAGGGCUACCUUACCAGAUAGGGUUACCAUUUUAUUAAUUGCAAGUGGUAGCUUAUUUAUUCAUUACUUUUGUCUUCUGUGAAUAUAAAUCACUGACUAUGUAAUCAUAAUAAUUUUUUAAUAAGGAGUAUGAUGAAAAUUAAAGACAAAUAGUGAUUUUGUAAUUAUUUAUUAUGCUCCAAGUCAAUAGAUAUCACAUCAACCCCCAAUAUUUUCUUUGCAACUACUUUCUUAUUGUACCCAUUAUCAAAAUUCUAUAAUAAAUGUGUAGGAGAAACUACUGACUAAACUAACAUGCUUGCACUACUGGAGUACUGAGAGAAAGAGUUGUGUAGGUCAACCUAAGACCAGUUUCAUUCAUCAACAAUAAAUGUUUCAGUGGAUACAUAAAACUUUUUGCACGCCAGUAAGUGGUAGACGUGAUUUUGCAUUUUUCCACAGCUUAAAUUACUAAAGAUCUUGCUCUGUUCUUUUCUUUUCAAAUAGGCCUUAUGGUCCCGGUGGAAUUGUUUUGACCUUUUCUUUCUUGAAAGUGGAUGUAUAAUACAUAUUGGUCUUGAUUGAUCCUUGAUCAAGACCUAUUUAUUCUCUUAUGCUUUAUUCUUUUUACAACAUAUGGAGAACAGUGUAUUGUAAGAUUCAUUUACCGUAGUCCUCUGCCUUGAUCUGUUCUAAUUUGAGAGUCAACAAUCUCAAUUCAAUUUCUUGAAUGGAGUACUAGCUAAGAGAACGGAGGUAGGGGAGGUUUAAAGCAAAGUUUCUUUCCAACUCUCUGUUUUUAACUAUUUCUUUGCAUGCUACAGGACUGAUUACAGGGUGGUACCGAGAGAGGAGGAGAUAUGGACAUCAACUUCAUGCUAUUUUCCGAGAGGCUGGGACGGGUGUUAGCUGGUGAAGAAGUCACGUUGCUUGAUGCUGCAAAACAACAUAUUCAGAACCUUCAUGCCGAGACUGAAAUCGUUACUUCUUGGCUGAGGGAAUUUGAAGAUGAUAUCUCCUGCCUUCUGAUGCAAAAAAUAGGAGAAGUUGAAAUUGAUGACCCUGAUCUCGGGAACAUUAUGGAUGAAAUCAAUUGCUUUACGUAUGAAUCUGAGAAGGUGAUUAACACAUUCAUCAACAGCAUCAGUGAACA
This 43893-nucleotide long non-coding RNA is filed under the name Citrus x clementina. Its description in RNAcentral is "Citrus clementina (C. clementina) long non-coding RNA (CCLE_LNC006684)". Lineage: Eukaryota; Viridiplantae; Streptophyta; Magnoliopsida; Sapindales; Rutaceae. The record is from RNAcentral.